RNAcentral lists this unclassified non-coding RNA (395 nucleotides) under uncultured Cortinarius. RNAcentral's name for it is "sequence contains ITS2". The stretch from base 1 to 154 matches the Rfam family "5.8S ribosomal RNA". The record is from RNAcentral. Lineage: Eukaryota; Fungi; Basidiomycota; Agaricomycetes; Agaricales; Cortinariaceae.
AACUUGUGACAAUGGAUCUCUUGGCUCUCGCGUCGAUGAAGAACGCAGCGAAAUGCGAUAAGUAAUGUGAAUUGCAGAAUUCAGUGAAUCAUCGAAUCUUUGAACGCACCUUGCGCUCCUUGGUAUUCCGAGGAGCAUGCCUGUUUGAGUGUCAUUAAUAUAUAUAUCAAACUUCUCUUGUUGAGUGGUUUGGAUGUGGGGGUUUGCUGGCUUGUUUCAGCUCCCCUGAAAUGCAUUAGCAGAACAACCCUGUUCAUUGGUGUGAUAACUAUCUACGCUAUUGAAUGUGAGGGGCAGUUCAGCUUUCUAACAGUCCUUGGACAAUUCAUCAUUAAUGUGACCUCAAAUCAGGUAGGACUACCCGCUGAACUUAAGCAUAUCAAUAAGCGGAGGCU